UGCUGGAUGAAUUUUGUUCAUUCCGAUGCACUUAUCACUUGACACUAUUGAAUAGUUUAUGUUAUAUCAGGAGGACGGUAAUAAAGCUACACAUCUAGUUGUAGCCAUAUAUUAAAAAAGCUGGUAUCAAGUUUGGAAUAUAACAGUUGUUCACCUUACGUUCCAUUGAAUGUUGUAGUCUUAUGAAUAUUUUUUUAUCAAUUUUCUGUACCCCCUUUUAUUCUUUUACCUUAGAGUUUGGUGUUUUGUUACUACUUUUUUGUAUCAAAACACGUAGUUUCAUUAUAUUCUAUUCGCAGAACAAUUUCAAUAUGGGAACAAAAGGUAUUUUACUGUAUUAACAUCAAAAUACCUCUGUCUGUAUCUGUAAUGUGAUGAUAUAAGAAUUUAUAAUACAAAGAAGAAAAACAAUCACAAAUAUAUAUCAGCUGUUUUAUGUAGAACUGUUAUUACAAUACUAUUUUAUCUAUAUUAAUGAUGGUCAAGGUAUGUCUGUCUAUCUAUAUACUUGUUUCGUCUUUUACUGACAAUGCA
RNAcentral lists this long non-coding RNA (534 nucleotides) under Mytilus galloprovincialis (Mediterranean mussel). The record is from RNAcentral. Lineage: Eukaryota; Metazoa; Mollusca; Bivalvia; Mytilida; Mytilidae.